CCUACGGGUGGCAGCAGUGGGGAAUAUUGCACAAUGGGGGAAACCCUGAUGCAGCGACGCCGCGUGAGUGAAGACGUAUUUCGGGAUGUAAAGCUCUAUCAGCAGGGAAGAAGAAAGACGGUACCUGACUUAGAAGCCCCGGCUAAAUACGUGCGAGCAGCCGCGGUAAGACGUAGGGGGCAAGCGUUAUCCGGAUUUACUGGGUGUAACGGGAGUGUAGACGGCUGGGUAAGUCUGAAGUGAAAGUGCAGGGCUCAACCAUGGGACUGCUGUGGAAACUGUGAAGAUAGAGUGCAGGAGAGGUAAGUGGAAGUCGUGGUGUAGCGGUGAAAUGCGUAGAUAUUACGAAGAACACCAGUGGCGAAGGCGGCUUACUGAACAGUCACUGACGUUGAGGCUCGAAAGCGUGGGGAGCAAACAGGAUUAGAUACCCGAGUAGUC
This 441-nucleotide ribosomal RNA is filed under the name uncultured bacterium. RNAcentral describes it as "partial 16S ribosomal RNA". It matches the Rfam family "Bacterial small subunit ribosomal RNA", at positions 338 to 795 of the family's 1533-position model. The record is from RNAcentral.